RNAcentral lists this ribosomal RNA (410 nucleotides) under uncultured bacterium. RNAcentral describes it as "bacterial SSU rRNA". It matches the Rfam family "Bacterial small subunit ribosomal RNA", at positions 370 to 772 of the family's 1533-position model. The record is from RNAcentral.
AAUGGGGGCAACCCUGAUCCAGCCAUGCCGCGUGAGUGAAGAAGGCCUUCGGGUUGUAAAGCUCUUUCGGCCGGGAAGAAAUCGUGUGGGCUAAUACCCUGCAUGGAUGACGGUACCGGAAUAAGAAGCACCGGCUAACUACGUGCCAGCAGCCGCGGUAAUACGUAGGGUGCGAGCGUUAAUCGGAAUUACUGGGCGUAAAGCGUGCGCAGGCGGUUUUUUAAGACAGGCGUGAAAUCCCCGGGCUUAACCUGGGAACUGCGCUUGUGACUGGAAGGCUAGAGUACGGCAGAGGGGGGUGGAAUUCCACGUGUAGCAGUGAAAUGCGUAGAGAUGUGGAGGAACACCGAUGGCGAAGGCAGCCCCCUGGGCCGAUACUGACGCUCAUGCACGAAAGCGUGGGGAGCAAA